This 256-nucleotide transfer-messenger RNA is filed under the name Klebsiella pneumoniae. RNAcentral describes it as "partial transfer-messenger RNA". It matches the Rfam family "transfer-messenger RNA", at positions 1 to 261 of the family's 374-position model. Rfam says of the family: Bacterial tmRNA, also known as 10Sa RNA or SsrA, is named for its dual tRNA and mRNA-like properties. Its role is to liberate the mRNA from a stalled ribosome. RNAcentral also lists the same sequence under 1 other name. Lineage: Bacteria; Pseudomonadati; Pseudomonadota; Gammaproteobacteria; Enterobacterales; Enterobacteriaceae. The record is from RNAcentral.
GGGGCUGAUUCUGGAUUCGACGGGAUUUGCGAAACCCAAGGUGCAUGCCGAGGGGCGGUUGGCCUCGUAAAAAGCCGCAAAAAAUAGUCGCAAACGACGAAAACUACGCUUUAGCAGCUUAAUAACCUGCUCUGAGCCCUCUCUCCCUAGCUUCCGCUCUUAAGACGGGGAUCAAAGAGAGGUCAAACCCAAAAGAGAUCGCGUGGAUGCCCUGCCUGGGGUUGAAGCGUUAAAUCUAAUCAGGCUAGUUUGUUAG